This is a long non-coding RNA of Polypterus senegalus (gray bichir), 5099 nucleotides long. RefSeq lists it as uncharacterized. The transcript is spliced from 5 exons. The record is from RefSeq and is a predicted model, not a curated record. NCBI's taxonomy places the organism in Eukaryota, Metazoa, Chordata, Cladistia, Polypteriformes, Polypteridae.
AGGAAAAAAAAAAAUUAAUAAAAAAAGCAACAGAACAUGAAUAAACCUACAGAAAGCAUUGCUCAAGAAACCGCCACUCCUAUCCACACACAAAAUUCUAAUUAAAGGAAAAUGCAUAAAAGCAGCAAAAGAAAAUACUGCAAGAAAUUAUAAAGCAAGUAGACAUAAAAGGGGUGUUCCAGUGGCACCACCAAAGACGACUCCGACUUUGUCAAGUGUCACGCAGUAUGUUAUAUUUGAUAUCACCCAUCCGUUUUCUAAACUUGUGUAAUUAAGCACAAGUCAGGAUACAAUCCAAAUGGGACACAAUGUCAUAAGUUAUAUAGCCAAACUCUCUCAUAUACCAAAAACAUGUAGCUUAUAGUAAUUGAUAAUUCUAAAAUCAGUUCUGAAUGGGUGUGCACACACACACACACACACACACACACACACACGAGUGGUCACUGCAUUUGACUGGCACAGUAUCCAUGAUAGAUUCCUUCCUCGAACCUAAGCUCUGAACCCGCUCACCACCCUAAACUGCUUUAAAGUAGGUUUGAGAAUGUUGUUCCUAUAAAGUUAAUUUCUUCUGUACAGACAAGCCAGCAAUUCUGCCUACAAUCCUGGAGUUGCCAUUUUUUUUUGUUGUGGAAGAAUGCUUUUAAGAAUGGGAGUACAGCAUAUGAGGACUUAAUUACACACACCUAGUCAUUCAUACACAUUUUAAUGACAUGUUAAAAGUAAUUAUUCAGUACUAUUUUGGUUGGCUGGGGUCUGUUUACACUAAACCACCAAAAAUCACUGCCGUAAUAGCCAUUUACCUAUACUGGCCAUGCACACAUCAGAGGAAAGAGAACAAUCUGCCCUAGAAGGGAAGAUUACACCAGCUGGCCACAGGAUUUAUUGCAAAACUUCAGCAAUCCGUAAAUUUGCUUUUUGUACAUGUAUGCAGCAUUUAAAAUGUACAAAAGGAACUGUAUGUGCAUUUAGGUAAGAAAUGCAACAAGCCCCAUUAUUUCAGAGUAGGAGACAUUGGAUCCUGCUUCUUACAAAUCAGGAAAGGAGCAAGUAAAGACACAAACCACAGAGUGACUGAAGGCAGUUUGUGUGUGUAUAUAGAUUUUUUUUUAAAAAAAAAACACACACAUCACCACACAUUCUUUUAGUGUGGACGUUGCCCGAGUCCACUGAAGGUCUGCUACAAUAAAAUUUAUCAAUUUUCCUCUCUAAUAUACGAUUGUAUAAAAAAAAAAAGGCUCAAAAUCUCCAUCUUUAGCUGGACUACUCAGAUAACUGAUUAAUACACUCAGUACAGAAAACUUUUAAAGCCCACAUUGUAAACCAACACCUCUAAAUCUUUAUUUUCAAACCUAAAUCGAAUUCAGGGUUAGCCUAUCCUGGCAGCAGUUUUACACAUUUAUAUAUAAAAAAAAUAAAACUAUAAUGCAGUUUGCCACAAGUUAUUCACAGUUACUGUACAAAGUGAUAUUACUAAAAAGGUAGCUAAUUUGUAAUAAAGUCGUUUACAGAAUUAUGCUUGGGUAUUCAAUCUCCACCACACACACUGCAAGCAUAAAUGUUAAAUAUACACUUGCCCAAUUAAACUAAACCAUUACUUUGAUGAAUAUCAGCUCUCAACAUUUACCUACUAAAGUCUUGCUUGAUUAACCUUUUAACCAAACAAGCUUAACCCAUAACUAGCAGUGGACACUGGUUAUGGUUUUACUUCCACUGGCAUUGGCCCGUAAGCUUACUCUGUUCACUCCCAGUGCUGGUAUCCUACCAGUGGCAUUUAUUGUACUGUAAAUCACUUUGGGAUCAUGUCGUACUGGUAAAUUUGCAAGUAGUAAGCCAGCUGCAGUACAGGAAAAGCAACCUUUAGUUUUCUUUGCUCAACUUCACAACCACCAACCCCACUUACAGUAAUUCAGAACUAAAAACUUCAAUACGUCAUACUAAUAGUGACUUGUGUGUAGGCUCCUCUGUUUAAGAAAAAUCCACAUCUUUGUUUUUGUCCAGGAGCAGUUCUGCCUGUUAAUGGGUGUGGCACAAACCAGAUGGAACCUGAUUUGCCCCACCAACUCUAUUAAGAACAAAACAAUGAAGAGGAGGAACAGCAAAACACAGACAACAUUGCCGGCUUCUGGAUUCUAUUGAGAAAGCCAACGGUAUCCACACACCACAGCACUUCGCAUGGAGGAAGGCCGAGGAGAACCUGCACCUGAACCAACUCAGAACAAGGAGCCAUGGCAGUGCAGAUUUAGUGUUGCCAGUCAACUUCACCUGUACAUGUUUGACAUACAGAAGAAGCAAACGUGAACAUGAAGAAAGUACAAAUGGUGAGACAGUAGAACUAACCACUAUGCCACCUCUGCUGAAUUUACAUCAGAUGAUGAGAGGAAGCAGCCGUACUUCAGCAUUAGAGGUCAAUGUGCUUGAUCAUCCUUCUCCACAAAUCUCAGUUCUGGACCUCUUCCUCGAUCCAUUUCAACAUUUAACUUCUCCUGUGGUCCUGUUACUGCCCGUGUCUCAGCUCCAUAUAUAAUUGCUGGUCUUAUCACUAUUUGAAAAACCUGAUCUUUAACCUUUGCCUUAAUUCUCUAAUAACACCAUACUCCUAAAACCUUCUUUCAAUUGAUUCAUCCACACUGCACUCUGUGGGUUAUCUCUCCAUCUAAUUUUCCACCUUGGGCUACCACUGAUCCUAGAUAUUUAAAUUUAUCCACUCUUUUCAACAGCUCUCCCUUCUCUAUUCUUCAUUCUUCCAAGUUCUUCUCCAGUUCUGCUUUUCUGGUGCUACACAACACAAUGCCAUCAACAAAAAAACAUGUACCAAGGGGAUUUGCCUUUUAUCUUAGGACCCACCACGCCCAUAACCAGAUCAGAGAGGUAAGGACUUCAAGAAGAUCCCUGGUACAGACCUCCUCUAACUGGGAUCUUGUCUGUUACCCCAACACUGCUUUUAACCUGAAUCCUCACUCCCUCAUACAUAUCCUGAACAAUCCACACCUCCUUCUCUGGUAUUCCUUUCUCUCUCACGAUGCUCCAGAAUUCCUGAUGUGACCUGCUAUCAUAAGCUUUCUCCACAUCAAUAAACACCAAUUGAAAACCUUUCUGUUUCCUCGGUGCUUCUCUGUGAGAUGCCUCGAUGCAGAGAAUGCAUCAGUUGUUCCUCUCCCUGGCAUUAAACCACCAAACUGUUCCUCCCUUAUGGUGGUCUAUUCCUAAGCCUCCUUUCUGUAACCCUUUCUCAGAUUUCCAUCAUGUGUGAUGUCAGCUUUAUCCCUCUAUAGGUUCCACAAUCCUGAAUAUUGUCCUUUUUUUAUAAAUGGAUACAAUCACACUGCCCAUUCCUGUGGUAUGUUUUUCCUCUCACAGGUUUUCUACAUUAGAUCCCACAACCCAUUUACUCCCCCUUCUCCUUAACUCUUCCAUACUUCUGAUGGCCUUUCAUCUGGUCCUGUUGCCUUUCCAUUUCUCAUUCUUUUCUGGGGCCCCUUUUCUUCCUCCCUCCUUAUUCUUGGUGCUAGCCCUUCUGUUUUGGGAAUCCAUGACACAACUACCAUGAAGUAAAAGAAAAUAAUAGUUGAAAAGCAAUAAAAGAAAACAUACCCAAUAUUCACUUGACAAUAAUGACCACAUAUAAUUUAUACGCCUAUAUGGCUAUACUCGGGGCACUUUAUUAGUGAUUUCUGAUAUCAAUUGACUGCCUCAGUGAGAAGUUAGGGGUCUCAUAUUAUGUUGUUGACUAACAAUGCAACCUGACAGACCCUGAGCAUUUUUGUAAAGAAGAAUGAGGAGAAAUGGCAGAGUGCAAAGCUGAUGGACCUGCGCAGAGAGUCUGAUGGCUGUCAUUCCUGCCAGCUACUAAAUACAGACCUGAAUGGGUUUUGUUUAUGCUACUUGUUUAUUACCAGAAACCCACCAGCUUCCUUAGAUCUUUUAUUCUGAUAACCAGGACCUUACAAAGUAUAUGGGCAGUUUCCAGUGAGGGCAUCACUUGCUUUACCUACCAGUUCAUUGAGAUAUUUUUGGAGACCUAGUCAAACAGUUCCAAGUGCUACGACCACGACCAGAAUCAUACAAGGCUUUGUGUUCCACAUGUGUGAAUCCUCAGUCUUGAGGUCUUUGUAUUUAUUGAUUUCUUCUACCUCUUUGUUUGAAACAUUUGCAUCACUAGGAACUGUGAUAUCAUGGAGAAUGAUGUUGAGGCAGUUGGCUCCAAUGGUAUGAUCACUAUUCAUAACUUUAUCGUAACAAAUGGUGACUUUUCUGUCUCCAUGACCUCUUCAGGCUGGUGAUCGUACCAAUGAUCAAGAAAGGUUUUGAAGGAUUUAUCCACAGAUCGAACAAAGCUCAGUGCGAAGGCUGACAUUUUAUCCCAUCUGUUGAUGAAAUCAAAGUGCCCACCCCAGAGAAAUGCAGGACGUGACCCUAACCACAGAACGCAAAAUGGCUUCUACUACUUUUAGAAAAGGCUGAAAGACCCCAAAUUUCAGCGCUGAUCACGACAAGAAUGUAUUAAGUAUGUGACCCUGAACUGCCAUGAGGAGUCUCUCUGUCUGGCUCUACAGCCCAGAGCCUCACAACCUUUCAAAGGUCAGCCUCGUGUCAAUAUACUGUAGCUGUUCAAUGUCUGUCUGAAUAAUUCUUCUUCUAUUAUUAUUAUUAUUAUUAUUAUUAUUAUUAUUAUUAUUAUUAUUAACCAACCAUAGACAGGGAAGCAGACUAGCUCAGGUCACAUUCAAGCAUAAAAUCACAAGCAGUCACUCAUACAGGGCCUCCAAAUGACAUGUUCUUCAAAGUAUUCUAACCAGAAAUUGUGUGGCUGCCAAUUGACUGAAAUUGCAAAAUAGUGUUGAUCAGCUGCUCACCUGAAUGACCUUUGCUUGGCAGUAGAUUUGUAAACGCCAUGGAAUACUAACUUUUGGUCAAUUCGCUAUGUGUCAAUGAAGCCUGACUCCUACGAGAAGAGGAACAAAAGUCAUUUACCUGGAUGUGGAGAAGAGUGUGCCACAGUUCCUUAUGCUGCACAUUUCAAAAGGAAUUACUGGUCAUGAGCUCAUUGUUUCUAGCUAACAUUUUCGUUGCACCUACACUGCUCACACACAGGACACAGU